This 21-nucleotide microRNA is filed under the name Spodoptera frugiperda (fall armyworm). Its description in RNAcentral is "sfr-miR-10491-3p". Lineage: Eukaryota; Metazoa; Arthropoda; Insecta; Lepidoptera; Noctuidae. The record is from miRBase by way of RNAcentral.
CUGAUUAACAUGUCAGUACAC